This 308-nucleotide unclassified non-coding RNA is filed under the name Hevea brasiliensis (rubber tree). The record is from RNAcentral. Lineage: Eukaryota; Viridiplantae; Streptophyta; Magnoliopsida; Malpighiales; Euphorbiaceae.
UGCUAAAGCAACUUGAUGAGUUUGAGAUGCUGUUCUGGAGCAGAGAUUUCAUUUUCAUAUCCUUGUCUGGGUGGUGAAGUUGGUGUCAGCUGCUGAUAAAUUUUGCCAUAUUUUUACUCAUGUCCCAACUCAUUUUUGUUGGGGAUGAUCAUUUGACCCUGUUAGUGAAGUGUGUGAAAUAAAAUGCUCUUUCAAUGUAAUCUAUGGCAUAUUCAUGCUCCUCAUUAAAUGAGAUGCUGUUUUAUUCUUGUUUUGCACUAUUGCUUAUGCAUUUUGAGUUCAAGUAUUAGACCCUAGACUUUGUAUUU